This 229-nucleotide ribosomal RNA is filed under the name uncultured bacterium. RNAcentral's name for it is "partial 16S ribosomal RNA". It matches the Rfam family "Bacterial small subunit ribosomal RNA", at positions 568 to 796 of the family's 1533-position model. The record is from RNAcentral.
UCCGUAGGUGGAUCAAUCAGUCAGAGGUGAAAUCCUGCAGCUUAACUGUAGAACUGCCUUUGAUACUGUUGAUCUUGAGUCAUUAUGAAGUGGUUAGAAUGUGUAGUGUAGCGGUGAAAUGCAUAGAUAUUACACAGAAUACCGAUUGCGAAGGCAGAUCACUAAUAACGUACUGACACUGAGGGACGAAAGCGUGGGGAGCGAACAGGAUUAGAUACCCUGGUAGUCC